AGAGCAUCUUCUGGCUAUUCUGCCAAUUUCCUGAAGGUCGCCUUGGAUUUUUUAUUGCUUGUGCUAAAAGAAGCAUCUGGCUUGUAGUUUUAACAUCUGAGAGGGAACGCAGAAGAAAAAACAGUUGCUGCAUCAGUGUCUGUAGAAGAAAUAACUGCUUCAUUCUACCAGUAGCUCUGCCAGGGUGUGUGCCGGUUUCCUGGGGAGAAUGUUUCUACAUUUGCAGAGGCCUUUGUUCAGACACCAGAUGAUUCUGCCCUGAUCAGAGGUGAUAGUUAUAAAAGGUGUGAGUGCCAUAGCUGCCAGCUGAAAAACACUGAUUAAUUUUUAACUCAAAGCUCUUCUCCACACUGAAGUUCUAGAGACAGGCUAAGAUCACAGUUUCCUUUUCCUGCUACCAAACCACAGACUGACAUUCCUUGGACACUGGCUCAUGAAUUUUUAAUUUGUGAGCUUGGCAGCGCUGGUUGCAUUAGAGACACAACAACUGAUUUUAAUGAGUGUAAGAUUAAUGCAGAUGAGCUUGGCUGAAACUGUGAUCCAGCUGAGGAGAGAGGAUUUUUCUCACUUCACCUACCAGCUCUCUCCUCAGUGGGCUAUUACGUUACAAGCAUUACCAUAGGAGAGCAUAUUCUCUUUACUGGUCAUUACCUGUGGGAGAGAUGCUCAUUAAAUAGCUUGUUUUAUACAGGAGAUUUUGCAUGUUAACCCUUGGUGGCUGUCCUGGGCCCUCAGCAGUCCUGUAUGGCUGACUAUGACUCUUGAGCAUGUAAGCAGGGAAGGAGGAGGACUGUGGCUGGAUGUGCACUAACAGAGGAGAAACCUCCCUUCACCCUCUGUGCCAGUGCCCAUUGGAAGGGGAAGGGGAAGACUUUUGGCUAUCUUGUGGAGCCACCCUAGCCAGCUCCAAAUGAGGCCACAGGCCACAUAAGUCUAAAAGGAGCUCAGCAUGGACUAUCAGCCCUCCUGGAGGAGCUGCGUUGUUCGUCUCGUGUUGUGCUGUUGUGGCUGCACAGCCACCAGUACCUGAGCUACUUUAUUAAACUACAGAAUAACACACACUGGCAGGGACCUCAGGAGAUCUCCAGUCCUUCCUUUUGCUCAGAGUAGGGUCAACAGUGAUUUCAGACGAGGCUGAUGACCACAGGCAGAAGGACGGUUGUACACAGCAUUUGUCUCAGAGGUAACUUUAAGCAGAAUGUAAAAGGUUGGGUACUUACCCAGCAUGGGUGAACGCUGAAGGGUUCUUCAAGUCCCAUCUCUUUUCCUCACCAAAAGUUCCCACAAACUUCCCAUCUGAGGUCCACAGUCUGGUGUUUUUUUCUGAGGAACCACCGAAGAUGACUGAAUCUGACCCAAACAUGAAGUGCUCAACACUCACCACCGUUGGGCUGCGGGCUCUCCAGUAACGGAGAUUUCUCCAGAGGUCCCUGGGCAAAGCAAAUAGGAGAAAGAGGCUCAGCUGUUGCCAGGACCUUACCUCUCCCCAUCUGUGAUUGGUAGCACUUUCAGAGACUGAAACACUGCAAUUUUUGCCUGCUUGGGUUGCAGAGCGAAUGUAGCAGGCGUAUUUAUGAGUGGAGUAUGACAAACCAUAAAUAACGAGGAGUGUCCCCGGAAAGCAUUAAGGGACGGUGGAGGAGACGGCCUGCCGGGCGGCUAGGGAACUUGCUUGGUGAAUAGCGUUCAGCUCUCGCUUUACAAGGCUCUCCUGUCUGACCGCGGGGCUUUUAUUUCCCUGACAGAGAUGUUGAAAUGAACCUCUGAUCACUGGGAUAAACGCUCCCCAAGAUAAGGGGUUUGUAUAUCCUGUUUUUAAAGCUGGUCUUGUAAAAUGUUUAAAAGCUUUUCUGUUUACCUAGCAUUUCAGUGUCUGUAAAUGGCUUAAACUUUUUUUGAGCUAUUCUCAGUGGCCUUAUCUACAACUCAGUGACUAUGAUGUUGCACGUUCAAAAUCAGAAGGAAUUAAAAAAAUACGUAAAGUAAAAAGCAGCGGGUCAGCUACAUUCCUGGUUUUAUGUUGGAAAAAGCUGCUGAUUACAAGGCCCAGAAACUCCUGUAGUUAUUUCAGACAGAACAGGUUGCAAACAAGCUAGGAAAACUUGUACUCUAGAACUUUACCCUUCUGAAAUGUACCUGAGAAACGGCUGGGACACGAGGCCAGGAUGUGAGGCUGAAAGCUUUGUAUCUCCAUAGUCUCAGUGAUGUGCUCUGAACUCCUGGGUCAAGACCCUGGCCCCCACUGAAGUUACUAGGAAGACUCCCAAAGACUGCAGUGGAGCCAGGAUUUCUGCAGGUCACCAGGCCUGGGUGUUCACUUCGUCUUGCUGAAGACAAGAACGGAGCAGAUUUAACAGCAUUACCAAACUCCACCACCAACGGCUGACAAGAAUUGCUCGGUCUUUUGAAAUGCUGUUUCUAGAGCAAUGCUGGAUGAAGAGCAAUUUACCCGCAGGAGGAUGUGACCUAAUCAGGCAAUGAGUAAUGCAUUCAGAUCAUGCCUAGCCUUUAUUGUCUCUGACUACCUCCAGGCCUACGUACCCAAAACUUUCUUAAAGGGUAACUCAGCCCGUGCAUGAUACUAGUGAAGAUGAAAGAAAAGAGCAAGAAACAUUGACUAUCGAGAGCACCAAGCUUUCUCCCGGAAUUUCUUAAACAAAAAAAUAAUGUGCAAACACAUGCAUAUGCACACACACACACACACACCACACACACGCAUAUGCAGCCACUCACACAUGCAUUUUAAAAUGCUUUUAUUAGACUGCUUAGGUUGAUUUCUAGAGAACCAACAUCAGAAUAAAUCCAUCUACUCUCAAAAAGCCCCAUUAACAUUAGUGGCAUGCAGGCCAAGACUCAGCUUGCCCCCAGAGGGCCGGAUCAGCGAGCCUGUGACAUUUUACACUGCCGUUUUCCACAUUUUAUAUUUCAGCUUUCAUAUGCACAGUCCUGCCAGUAUAAUAAUAGUACAGCUGCUUUUCAUCUUCAAAGCACUCUGCAAACAUUAAUUAUGCUUAAAAUGGUGUUUAAGAAGCCCUCAGAGUUUGCCCAGAACUCUGAGAUGACCUCAGAAGGAGAAUGAAAGUUUUCUGUGUGAAGCACCUAGUUUAAGAUGUAUUAUUUCAACAAAGACACUACCCCCGUCAGCCUCUGCCCAUUCCCAACCACUUAUGUUAACCAUGAUAUGGAAGAUAAAUAGAAAAAUGUUGGAGAACAGCUGAGAUGCUGACGUAUUUAGCGUUAAGGCUCUAAUAAAGACGAAAGCUUUUUAUGAGGAAAAAAGAAUGUAUAACUUGGAACCUGUUCAACUAUGUAACACACAAAACAGGCCUAUUAACUCCCUUGGCCUACAAUUUAAUAAAUACCUCUCCAUCAAUCAUCCUAAAGCAAAUGAUACCCUUUCUGCUGAGGCUCUCCGAGGUAGAUGAUAUGCAAUUCUGUAUUCCAGACCACAAUUUCUCCAACAAAAUUGGCUGUAGCAAGAAGUCCAAGAGCAGGGCAAUGAUCUACUGCCAAAAUGUCCUCUUGGUGCAACUACCGCCCCUUCCAAGAGGGCUUUGGAGAGACUUGUAAGUCCUACAAUCAGAGUGAGAGCAAGAGAGAGAGUUAAACCAAGUUUGGUUAAGCAGACGUAUCCCAGAGCUCAGGAGUGGAGCAAGUGUGUUACAAAUGCUGCCUUUGCUGAUAAACAGAGACAAGUGUUAUUUCAAGCACCAGCUAGAGAAGAGUGUGCUUUUCUGCUGGAAAACUUUGCUUUUAGCGCUGCAUGACUUAUUCACCUCUCUGCCGGUUUGACAACUACAUGCCUCUGACUUCAACUGGACUUCUAACCAGCUCACCGCAAGGUCAUUUCUGCAGCUGUAGCUAAGAAAUAUGUCUUGUACCCUAAAGCUAGGAGUGUCACUGCUGUGGUGCGCAGCGCAGGAAAGCCUUUGCUGUCUAGCAGGCAGCUGUUUCCAUCCGGUUUGUCCUCUCCCACUCAACCCAAGCUUACGCAAGUUUUUCAGGACAAUGUGGCAGCUCCAUCCCACUGCCAGCAGGGUUUGGUGUGCAGUGUGACCAGUGCUGUGAUUUCAGCUUCUUCCAUCACUUCCAGCUGGUGCAAGCUGUGACCGCUGUGAACGGCCCAGACCUGUCCCAAAGCAAACAUGGUUAGUUUGACCCAACCCAGUAUUUGUAUGAUGUUUUCCAAGCCUGUGGGAGGAGAAAGGCAGAUAAAAAGAUGCUAAAUGUUGCUCCAGUCCCAAACAGUGAGGAGGGUAAAGAGGAUCAGAACUGAACCUACAGCUCUAAAUGUAACUGAAAGCAUCAGAAGAAGAGAUGCUUUUCAGAGAGGCAGGUGACUCAUUGUCCGCAGCGAGAGCCAAGGGGCAAGGAAACUCAGUCUAGGGAGAACUGCCUCUGGGUAGAAAAAUCCUUGUGACAGCCAGCCUGGAGCUGAUAUGGGGUUAUAGCACCAACUCUCUCUGGGUCAGAGCACAAACCUUGAUGGUCCCAUUGCCUGCUGCAGUAAUAAGCUUUACUAGGAGGUGUUGAGGACCAUGCGUAUUAUCUCCUCUCUCCUGCGUGCAUGGCCGAUGGAGAGGAGUUUGGUACCUGGCUCAAUGAUGUCCCACACAGUGAUUGUGGAGUCUUCAGAUCCUGUCACCACCUUCCAGGAGAAGAGAACUUUCUUUGAAAUGUUCUGCUUUGCAGUGUUUUGACUUUGAUUAAUAAAGAGCCAUCCUGAGACGAGAACUGGAGCUAUGCCAUCAUGUGUGACAGAACUACACCUUCUUUGGCUGGAUGACCAAUACCCUCUGCUUUUAAAAGGGACAGCCACCAUGGCCAGAGAGCACAUCAACUACCUGCUGGUGUGCGUGUUUCUGCGUGGUGAGUUUGCCACACACAGUCACACUGAGGAGGUAAGCACUCACAUGCUGAGCUGUGAUUUGCAUUACAGAAUCACAGAAUUGCAGAAUCGUUUAGGUUGGAAGGGACCUCUGGAGAUCAUCUAGU
Molecule: non-coding RNA, 4995 nt
Organism: Struthio camelus australis
Lineage: Eukaryota; Metazoa; Chordata; Aves; Struthioniformes; Struthionidae
Source: RefSeq, a predicted model, not a curated record